RNAcentral lists this ribosomal RNA (252 nucleotides) under uncultured bacterium. Its description in RNAcentral is "partial 16S ribosomal RNA". It matches the Rfam family "Bacterial small subunit ribosomal RNA", at positions 524 to 776 of the family's 1533-position model. The record is from RNAcentral.
UACGAAGGGUGCAAGCGUUACUCGGAAUUACUGGGCGUAAAGCGUGCGUAGGUGGUUUGUUAAGUCUGUUGUGAAGCCCCGGGCUCAACCUGGGAAUGGCAAUGGAUACUGGCAAGCUAGAGUCCGGAAGAGGCGAGUGGAAUUCCUGGUGUAGCGGUGGAAUGCGCAGAUAUCAGGAGGAACACCAAUAGCGAAGGCAGCUCGCUGGGACGGUACUGACGCUGAGGCGCGAAAGCGUGGGGAGCGAACAGG